GAGUGAGCGGCAAGAGCUCAAAUUUGAAAGCUGGCCCCUUCGGGGUCCGCGUUGUAAUUUGCAGAGGAUGCUUCGGGUGCAGCCCCCGUCUAAGUGCCCUGGAACGGGCCGUCAUAGAGGGUGAGAAUCCCGUCUGGGACGGGGUGUCUGCGUCCGUGUGAAGCUCCUUCGACGAGUCGAGUUGUUUGGGAAUGCAGCUCUAAAUGGGUGGUAAAUUUCAUCUAAAGCUAAAUACUGGCCGGAGACCGAUAGCGCACAAGUAGAGUGAUCGAAAGAUGAAAAGCACUUUGAAAAGAGAGUUAAACAGCACGUGAAAUUGUUGAAAGGGAAGCGUUUGCGACCAGACUCGCCCGCGGGGUUCAGCCGGCAUUCGUGCCGGUGUACUUCCCCGUGGGCGGGCCAGCGUCGGUUUGGGCGGCCGGUCAAAGGCCCUCGGAAUGUAUCACCUCUCGGGGUGUCUUAUAGCCGAGGGUGCAAUGCGGCCUGCCUGGACCGAGGAACGCGCUUCGGCUCGGACGCUGGCGUAAUGGUCGUAAAUGACCCGUCUUGAA
This 551-nucleotide ribosomal RNA is filed under the name Aspergillus fumigatus. RNAcentral's name for it is "eukaryotic LSU rRNA". It matches the Rfam family "Eukaryotic large subunit ribosomal RNA", at positions 91 to 658 of the family's 3401-position model. Lineage: Eukaryota; Fungi; Ascomycota; Eurotiomycetes; Eurotiales; Aspergillaceae. The record is from RNAcentral.